AGGAGCCUGUUCUAUAAUCGAUGAUCCACGAUACACCUUACCAUUUUUUGCCUUCCUCAGCCUGUAUACCUCCGUCGACAGCUUACCACUUGAAUGCUAUUAAGUAAGCGAAAUGAGCUACCGCGCCUUCCCCAAUACGUCAGGUCAAGGUGCAGCCUACAAAAUGGAAAAUAAUGGGCUACAAUUUCUAACAUAGAACAAACGAAAAACUACAUGAAACAUAGUCAUGAAGGCGGAUUUAGCAGUAAAAGGAGAAUAGAGAGCUUCUUUUAAACGAGCCCUGGGACGUGUACAAACCGCCCGUCACCCUCUUCAAAAGCACUUUUUCAAGUCACUAACACUUUAUCGCACAUUAGAAGAGGCAAGUCGUAACAUGGUAAGUGUACCGGAAGGUGCACUUGGUUAAUCAAAGUAUAGCUUAACUAAAGCCUUUCGUUUACACCGAAAACACAUCUGUUUGACUCGGAUUACUUUGAGCCUCAAACCUAGCCUAUAC
RNAcentral lists this ribosomal RNA (496 nucleotides) under Gephyromantis pedronoi. Its description in RNAcentral is "partial 12S ribosomal RNA". The stretch from base 1 to 414 matches the Rfam family "Bacterial small subunit ribosomal RNA", at positions 933 to 1533 of the family's 1533-position model. The record is from RNAcentral. Lineage: Eukaryota; Metazoa; Chordata; Amphibia; Anura; Mantellidae.